Molecule: ribosomal RNA, 497 nt
Filed under: uncultured bacterium
Lineage: Bacteria
Description: partial 16S ribosomal RNA
Rfam family: Bacterial small subunit ribosomal RNA
Source: RNAcentral
GAUGAACGCUGGCGGCGUGCCUAAUACAUGCAAGUCGAGCGAACAGACGAGGAGCUUGCUCCUCUGACGUUAGCGGCUGACGGGUGAGUAACACGUGGAUAACCUACCUAUAAUACUUGUAUAACUUCGUGAAACCGGAGCUAAUACCGGAUAAUAUAUUGAACCGCAUUGUUCAAUAGUUAAAUACGGUUUUUCUGUCUCUUAUAGAUUGAUCCUCGCCUCAUUAGCUAGUUGGUAAGGUAACGGCUUACCAAGGCAACGAUGCGUAGCCGACCUGAGAGGGUGAUAGGGAACACGGGAACUGAGAAACGGAACAGACUACUACGGGAGGCAGAAGUAGGGAAUAUUCCGAAAUGGGCGAAAGCUUGACGGAGCAAAGCCGCGUGAGUGAUGAAGGUCUUAGGAUCGUAAAACUAUGUUAUUAGGGAAGAAAAAAUGUGUAAGUAACUAUGCACGUAUUGACGGUAACUAAUCAGAAAGCAACGGCUAACUACGUG